Molecule: ribosomal RNA, 449 nt
Filed under: uncultured bacterium
Lineage: Bacteria
Description: partial 16S ribosomal RNA
Rfam family: Bacterial small subunit ribosomal RNA
Source: RNAcentral
AUUGAACGCUGGCGGCAUGCCUAACACAUGCAAGUCGAACGAGAUCUUCGGGUCUAGUGGCGCACGGGUGCGUAACGCGUGGGAAUCUGCCCUUUGGUUCGGAAUAACAGUUGGAAACGACUGCUAAUACCGGAUGAUGACGAAAGUCCAAAGAUUUAUCGCCAGAGGAUGAGCCCGCGUAGGAUCAGCUAGUUGGUGUGGUAAAGGCGCACCAAGGCGACGAUCCUUAGCUGGUCUGAGAGGAUGAUCAGCCACACUGGGACUGAGACACGGCCCAGACUCCUACGGGAGGCAGCAGUGGCGAAUAUUGGACAAUGGGCGAAAGCCUGAUCCAGCAAUGCCGCGUGAGUGAUGAAGGCCUUAGGGUUGUAAAGCUCUUUUACCCGGGAUGAUAAUGACAGUACCGGGAGAAUAAGCUCCGGCUAACUCCGUGCCAGCCGCCGCCGUAA